Oryctolagus cuniculus (rabbit) is the source of this 2621-nucleotide non-coding RNA. Lineage: Eukaryota; Metazoa; Chordata; Mammalia; Lagomorpha; Leporidae. The record is from RefSeq and is a predicted model, not a curated record.
CCUGAGGGAGGAACCGGAGCGGGCGGGGCUGAGGUCCGGGAAGCAGAGGCGGGGCAGACGGCAGCUGUGGUGUUUCCGAGCUGCUUCCGAGGAGUUCCCUUCAGUUCCACUUCCAGUUGUUUCUCUGCCAUUAAAUUCUUUCCAGGCGAGAUAAGGGGCCCGCCCGCCCCACCGGGGUGUGUCACGUGUGUCUGCGUGGUGGGGGGGAGGUCAGACGGACAGAAGCAGGGGGAGCCUGGAUGGGGACGGAGUCAAGUCGGAGCCCUGUGCCUUCCUGGGACGUCUCCCAGCCACGCUAGCCCUGCUGAACCGUCUCGGUGGAACUUGUGCCUUCUACAUGUCUGCAUCUCAUCAGGAGAGCACCGAGCCUGCGCCGUGCAGCUCCGGGAAAGGAAGGGAUUGAAGACAGCAGACACACAAGUGAAGUGGCUCCCGGAAGGGCUCUGCGGGGAGAAGGCUGUAGAAGCUGACUGCCGGAGACCUGCUCUGCAUCGAGUUAUAGUGUGGUCUCAGAAGAAAUUAACACAAGACGGCUGUGUGGGGGUUCUAGAGGAGGUGGACGGAAGAGAGCACAGCACCAGCAGGCAAGGGAGACAUGGGCGAGAGGGUCACAGGAAAGCUUGGACCUGAAUGGACCCCGCAGAACUCCCUGUCUAGAGACAUGGGUGUGGGGCAAAGGGAGGGGGAGGACAUUGCUAUCUCGUGACAAAAGAAAGUCACACAAUUGUUUUCCUCUGCGCUCUGGGCCGGGUGGGCGCCUGUAUUUACCAGAGGGACUGAGGUCGCUGUGGCAACCACACAUCUGGGCCCCGGAAUCCAGAUGUGCUGCAUCCAGAAGCCAUAGCAGAACGAUGAGGCAAACAUCAUGCUCCCCAGCACCGGCCCCCGCAGCUGGGACGAGGACAGGGGAUUGGCGUGGGGAAGUGAAGGGAGCAGGGGGAGGAAGGAGGAGAAGACGGGCUGGGGAGCAGAGGGGAAGCGAUGGAGGGACCAGGAUGUGGACAGAGCAGUGGGAAGGAAACAGAGGGGUGGCCAGAACCAGGGAGGAAGAGCAGGAAGCAAUGAGAAGACCCAGACAGGGACAGGGAGGGAAACAGGCAAGAAGAAACCGACCCAGAACAAAGCUCCAGGCACACAGCUGUGAUCAGCUGUGGGGGUGAUGGUAGAGUGUGAGGAAAGGAGUCGGGAGGGACGACGGGGCAGGGAAGACGGAGCCCAAAAGGCAGGGAUCCCCAGGGUCCCUCAGGACAGGGAGGGGUCGCUGAGGUGACCCUGGGUGGGGUGUGGCCAGAGGAAUGGAGAGCCACACAGGCCUGGGGGUGGCAGCCCAGGGCCUGCCUUCAUUCCCUGCAGAAGACCUGUCUCCACAUCUCUCUCAACACUUGCUACCAAUCUGCUCCCUUGAUCGGAAGGUCUGACCCCAGCUUCACACAAGAGUGCCGGCUGUCUGUCUCUGGCCAGUCCCCGAGGUACAGAGAGCCCCUGGGGUGGGAGGCAGGCACUUCUAGCACUUUCCCCGAGUGGGAAGUGUCCAGACGGACACAGAGCAAUGGGAAAAUGAACAGUGACGGACCCAGAUGGGAUGAAGGUGGAACAGAUGGAAACGGACAGUGUAAAUGGCAGGGAAAGUGAGGGCUGAGGAAAGGGGUCUACUGUGCCCCGGCGCUGCAGCCGCCACCUCUCAGCCUACGUCACCGAGGAAGCUGGGGGAGCAUCCCACUUCACAGGCGAGGGAACGAAGGCUCGGAUGUUUCAGGAUACCCACUAACAGAAGGCAAGGCAGGGCAGCCAGCUCAGGUGAACUGUUCCCCAAGCCCUAGUUCUCACUGCACGUACUACCCGGAGAGUGCUGGCUACGGUUCGUGGGGCCCUGGGACAGGAAGCCUGGCUGAGGAGCCAGGGCUGCCCUCUGGAGGGAGGAGAGGUCUAGUUCCUGGGAGCCCCAGUUCCAGGUUGCCAUGGCCACCGGGUCUGUUUUCACCCCAAACACAGUAAAGGCCGGCUGGGGGGUUGUGGGGAGAGUCUGGCCGGCCACGUGAGGUUCCUUCUCCCUUCUUCAGGCCUGGGCUUAUGGCCCGGGCAGCCCCUGUCCAGUCAUCCGGGCGUGGAGCCCAGGCCCGGCUCACACCCUCCAGCUGACCCAGGCCGCUCCUGCAGGGUCAGGCCUGAGGCACCGCUGGACGGGGUUCCCUCCAGGUUGGGCUGAGCCUCAGUCUCUCACUUCGCCCGGCUGCCUUUCCUCUGAAUGAAAACGCACGCCUGUUCUGCCUGAGUGGAUUCUCGGGGCUCAGUCUCCUCCAUUUUAGGGAGAAGAGGAUGUCUUGAAACACCCUCUCCCUCCCUCCCGAAUACCACCCCUUCCCCACUGCGGCCCCUCCUGCAGGGCUGCGAGCCAGCUGGCCCCAGCGCUCCUUGUUUGUGUGAGCUUCUCAUCCUGGAAAGCAAGGGAGAGAGGGAGGGAGAAGCUGCGGGGGAGCGGGGACGCAGGCAGGCCGCGCCCCCUGGCGGGCGUGGGGCUCCCCUGCCUUCCUGUUUACUGAGAUCUGUCGUCUUGCUGUCUCGCGUGGGGCAGCCCUGCUACACACAGACGUACCCUGGGGCGGCAGGGUGGGGCCGGGGGA